Molecule: ribosomal RNA, 253 nt
Filed under: uncultured Leucobacter sp.
Lineage: Bacteria; Bacillati; Actinomycetota; Actinomycetes; Micrococcales; Microbacteriaceae
Description: partial 16S ribosomal RNA
Rfam family: Bacterial small subunit ribosomal RNA
Source: RNAcentral
UACGUAGGGUGCAAGCGUUGUCCGGAAUUAUUGGGCGUAAAGAGCUCGUAGGCGGCUUGUCGCGUCUGCUGUGAAAACCCGAGGCUCAACCUCGGGCCUGCAGUGGGUACGGGCAAGCUAGAGUGCGGUAGGGGAGAUUGGAACUCCUGGUGUAGCGGUGGAAUGCGCAGAUAUCAGGAAGAACACCGAUGGCGAAGGCAGAUCUCUGGGCCGUUACUGACGCUGAGGAGCGAAAGCGUGGGGAGCGAACAGC